GAUGAACGCUGGCGGCGUGCCUAACACAUGCAAGUCGAGCGAAGCACUUACUUUAGCUUUCUUCGGAAUGACGAAGUUUGUGACUGAGCGGCGGACGGGUGAGUAACGCGUGGGCAACCUGCCCUGUACAGGGGGAUAACAGUUAGAAAUGACUGCUAAUACCGCAUAAGCCCACAGCUUCGCAUGAAGCAGUGGGAAAAACUCCGGUGGUACAGGAUGGGCCCGCGUCUGAUUAGCUAGUUGGUAAGGUAACGGCUUACCAAGGCGACGAUCAGUAGCCGACCUGAGAGGGUGACCGGCCACAUUGGGACUGAGACACGGCCCAAACUCCUACGGGAGGCAGCAGUGGGGAAUAUUGCACCAUGGGGGAAACCAUGAUGCAGAGACGCCGCGUGAGCGAAGAAGUAUUUCGGUAUGUAAAGCUCUAUAGGCAGGGAAGAAAGUGACGGUACCUGACGAAGAAGCCCCGGAUAACUACGUG
This 481-nucleotide ribosomal RNA is filed under the name uncultured bacterium. RNAcentral describes it as "partial 16S ribosomal RNA". It matches the Rfam family "Bacterial small subunit ribosomal RNA", at positions 28 to 507 of the family's 1533-position model. The record is from RNAcentral.